Molecule: unclassified non-coding RNA, 194 nt
Filed under: uncultured Ascomycota
Lineage: Eukaryota; Fungi; Ascomycota
Description: sequence contains ITS1
Source: RNAcentral
CCGAGUUAGGGUCCUUUUGGGCCCGACCUCCCAACCCUUUGUUUACUUGACCCACGUUGCUUCGGCGAGCCCGUCCCUUCCCGGGACCGCUGGAGGGCCUCUUUUGGCCUUCUGGUCCGCGCUCGUCGAUGGCCAACCUUAUUAAACUCUUAAUUAAACGUGUCUUAUCUGAGUACCAAUUUUUAAUUAAAGCA